RNAcentral lists this ribosomal RNA (503 nucleotides) under uncultured bacterium. RNAcentral's name for it is "bacterial SSU rRNA". It matches the Rfam family "Bacterial small subunit ribosomal RNA", at positions 501 to 1006 of the family's 1533-position model. The record is from RNAcentral.
CUACGUGCCAGCAGCCGCGGUAAUACGGAAGGUCCGGGCGUUAUCCGGAUUUAUUGGGUUUAAAGGGAGUGUAGGCGGUCUGUUAAGCGUGUUGUGAAAUUUAGGUGCUCAACAUUUAACUUGCAGCGCGAACUGUCAGACUUGAGUACACGCAGCGCAGGCGGAAUUCAUGGUGUAGCGGUGAAAUGCUUAGAUAUCAUGAGGAACUCCGAUCGCGAAGGCAGCCUGCGGGAGUGUUACUGACGCUUAAGCUCGAAGGUGCGGGUAUCGAACAGGAUUAGAUACCCUGGUAGUCCGCACAGUAAACGAUGGAUGCCCGCCGUUGGCGCCCUGCGCCUGCGGCCAAGCGAAAGCAUUAAGCAUCCCACCUGGGGAGUACGCCGGCAACGGUGAAACUCAAAGGAAUUGACGGGGGCCCGCACAAGCGGAGGAACAUGUGGUUUAAUUCGAUGAUACGCGAGGAACCUUACCCGGGCUUGAAUUGCAGUCGCUGCCCACAGAGA